Molecule: transfer RNA, 74 nt
Filed under: Bacteroidales bacterium
Lineage: Bacteria; Pseudomonadati; Bacteroidota; Bacteroidia; Bacteroidales
Description: tRNA-Ile
Rfam family: tRNA
About the family: Transfer RNA (tRNA) molecules are approximately 80 nucleotides in length.
Source: RNAcentral
GGUCCCGUAGCUCAGUUGGUUAGAGUAGGUGACUCAUAAUCACUUGGUCCUUGGUUCGAGCCCAAGCGGGACCA